Molecule: long non-coding RNA, 343 nt
Filed under: Ananas comosus (pineapple)
Lineage: Eukaryota; Viridiplantae; Streptophyta; Magnoliopsida; Poales; Bromeliaceae
Description: long non-coding RNA (ACOM_LNC040178)
Source: RNAcentral
CAACAUCAACAUCCUCUCAAACAUAUGUAAAUACUGCUCAAUGAACCACAAAGACUGACCACUCAGAUCAACUAGGAUGGAACGACUCUACAUCCUCUCAACUGUAUGCAGAUACUGAUCAUUAGGUCAACUACUGUAUAUAAGCAAGAAUCGAUCAACAAGUCAUCUAAGUAUAUAAUCUAGAACUACCGUCGGCCACUAGCCGACAAUCCGACCCCUCAGGGUACACCGACCUCAAAGGUCAUCAAACGACAGACAUCACGGAACCGACCGACUAGGUCACCGAUCUCACAAGAAAUCACAAAACCGCUCUACUCUAAACAUGAAACAGGAUAUGCAGAAU